GAGUCCUUAGCUCAAUGGUAGAGCAUUUGACUCCAGAUCAAGAGUCACCAGUCGAACCUUGUAGGGCCCG
This 70-nucleotide transfer RNA is filed under the name Capsicum annuum. It matches the Rfam family "tRNA". From Rfam's summary of the family: Transfer RNA (tRNA) molecules are approximately 80 nucleotides in length. Their secondary structure includes four short double-helical elements and three loops (D, anti-codon, and T loops). Lineage: Eukaryota; Viridiplantae; Streptophyta; Magnoliopsida; Solanales; Solanaceae. The record is from Rfam by way of RNAcentral.